This 254-nucleotide ribosomal RNA is filed under the name uncultured bacterium. Its description in RNAcentral is "partial 16S ribosomal RNA". It matches the Rfam family "Bacterial small subunit ribosomal RNA", at positions 524 to 777 of the family's 1533-position model. The record is from RNAcentral.
UACGAGGGGGCAAGCGUUGUUCGGAAUUAUUGGGCGUAAAGGGUGCGUAGGCGGUUUGACAAGUCUGAUGUGAAAUCCCGGGGCUCAACCCCGGAACUGCAUUGGAUACUGCCUUGCUUGAGUACUGGAGAGGAGACUGGAAUUUACGGUGUAGCAGUGAAAUGCGUAGAUAUCGUAAGGAAGCCAGUGGCGAAGGCGAGUCUCUGGACAGUUACUGACGGCUGAGGCACGAAAGGCCAGGGGAGCAAAACGGG